AUGAACGCUGGCGGCGUGCCUAAUACAUGCAAGUCGAGCGAACAGAUAAGGAGCUUGCUCCUUUGACGUUAGCGGCGGACGGGUGAGUAACACGUGGGUAACCUACCUAUAAGACUGGGAUAACUUCGGGAAACCGGAGCUAAUACCGGAUAAUAUUUCGAACCGCCUGGUUCGAUAGUGAAAGAUGGUUUUGCUAUCACUUAUAGAUGGACCCGCGCCGUAUUAGCUAGUUGGUAAGGUAACGGCUUACCAAGGCGACGAUACGUAGCCGACCUGAGAGGGUGAUCGGCCACACUGGAACUGAGACACGGUCCAGACUCCUACGGGAGGCAGCAGUAGGGAAUCUUCCGCAAUGGGCGAAAGCCUGACGGAGCAACGCCGCGUGAGUGAUGAAGGUCUUCGGAUCGUAAAACUCUGUUAUUAGGGAAGAACAUACGUGUAAGUAACUGUGCACGUCUUGACGGUACCUAAUCAGAAAGCCACGGCUAACUACGUG
Molecule: ribosomal RNA, 496 nt
Filed under: uncultured bacterium
Lineage: Bacteria
Description: partial 16S ribosomal RNA
Rfam family: Bacterial small subunit ribosomal RNA
Source: RNAcentral